This 21-nucleotide microRNA is filed under the name Ananas comosus (pineapple). RNAcentral describes it as "microRNA s0255_c092". The record is from RNAcentral. Lineage: Eukaryota; Viridiplantae; Streptophyta; Magnoliopsida; Poales; Bromeliaceae.
CACCGUCACUAUCAUUGUCCU